GUCGUAACAAGGUUUCCGUAGGUGAACCUGCGGAAGGAUCAUUCGCACGUAUCCGUUCAAACCAUUGUGAACCAUCCACUGUGAGGUUCUCAGCGAGGGAAAGCGAUAGCAUCAAUGCCCUGGUUGAGAAACUCGCGGGCAGCAGGGCGGGAUUGGGAGUGUGAUCCUUUUUCUGCUGGCUGUCGGGUAUUUUGAAAUCAUUCUCUGAUAUUCUGUAAUGUUAUUCAUUCUACAACUUUCAGCGACGGAUGUCUCGGCUCGAACAACGAUGAAGGGCGCAGCGAAGUGUGAUAAGCAUUGUGAAUUGCAGAAUUCCGUGAACCAAUAGGGACUUGAACGUAUACUGCGCUUUUGGGAUAUUCCUGAAAGCAUGCCUGCUUCAGUGUCUACUCAAUUUCAUUCCAGCACAUUGGCCCUCAAAAUGUGAGCUGUGUGCUUGUGAGCAUUUGUGCGUCAGGGCGUGCUGCAUGCCCCUUGAUGCAUGGAAUGAAUAUGUGCUCAGUACGCCACAACCAACUUGAAGAGCAUCUUUGAUGUGAUCUGUUGUUGUGUUGCUGGCGCUGGCAUGCCAUGAACUUGCACAAACCCUUACUCAAGACAUGAAGUUAGGUCAGCAAACCCGCUGAAUUUAAGCAUAUAAGUAAGCGGAGGAUAAGAAACUAAAUAGGAUUCCCUUAGUAAUGGCGAAUGAACAGGGAUGAGCUCAGUAUGGAAAUUGGGGCCUGUGGCCUUGAAUUGUAGUCUCGAGAUGUAUUGCCAAUGGAGGCGCAGAUGUAAGCCUCUUGGAAAAGAGCAUCAGCGAGGGUGAGAGUCCCGUUUGUCAUCUGCAGUCCUCUGUGUACGGUGUAUCUUCUAAGAGUCACGUUCCUCGGGAUUGGAGCGCAAAUUUGGUGGUAAAUUUCAUCCCAAGCUAAAUAUUGGUUCGAGACCGAUAGCAAACAAGUACCAUGAGGGAAAGGUGAAAAGGACUUUGAAAAGAGAGUUAAAAGUGCCUGAAAUUGCUGAAAGGGAAGCGAAUGGAACCAGUGUAUCUUGGGGAAAUUGCUGUGUGCUAAGGUGAUGGUUUGCUGGUUCAACGCAAGUGCUCCAGCAGGCUUAAGAUCUGGAUGCAUGUGGUGCUUUUCGCCUUGUGUGUCAUUGUCAGUCCACAGUCGAGGAAACCUCCAGGUUCAUGGUUGUCCACCUCUGGGUGGCCGAACGUACCUGGCAGAACUCACUUGUGAACUGGUUCGUGCGUGUCUGGCUUCAGCGAUCGGUGCCUCUUGCUUUGUUGCUAACUCCUGUUGGCGAACUUGGCGAAGGCGCUGAACGCAUUCCUGACACAACUACGAUGACAAAAUGGUUCUAUCCGACCCGUCUUGAAACAAGGACCAAGGAGUCUAACGUGUGUGCGAGUUCACGGGUGGUUAAACCUGCUUGCGCAAUGAAAGUGACUGCUGGGAUGUUUGCACCAGCAACCGACCAAUCAAUUGAGAGAGGUUUGAGUAUGAGCAUACCUGUUAGGACCCGAAAGAUGGUGAACUAUGCGUGA
Molecule: ribosomal RNA, 1531 nt
Filed under: Kryptoperidinium triquetrum
Lineage: Eukaryota; Dinophyceae; Peridiniales; Kryptoperidiniaceae
Description: eukaryotic LSU rRNA
Rfam family: Eukaryotic large subunit ribosomal RNA (bases 596-1531)
Source: RNAcentral